CGAGUAGAGCGGCGCACGGGUGCGUAACACGUGGAUAAUCUGCCCUUGAAUUCGGGAUAACCUUCCGAAAGGUUGGCUAAUACCGGGUAAGCUCACGGUGACUUCGGUCGCUGUGGGAAAAGUAGACCUCUGUUUACAAGUUUACGUUUGAGGAUGAGUCCGCGGCCCAUCAGCUAGUUGGCGGGGUAAUGGCCCACCAAGGCUACGACGGGUAGCUGGUCUGAGAGGACGAUCAGCCACACUGGAACUGAGACACGGUCCAGACUCCUACGGGAGGCAGCAGUGGGGAAUUUUCCACAAUGGGCGAAAGCCUGAUGGAGCAACGCCGCGUGUGUGAUGAAGGUCUUCGGAUCGUAAAGCACUUUCGACCGGGACGAAAAACCUCUGGCUAACAUCCAGGGGCCUGACGGUACCGGGAGAAGAAGCACCGGCUAACUCUGUGCCAGCAGCCGCGGUAAUACAGAGGGUGCAAGCGUUGUUCGGAAUUAUUGGGCGUAAAGCGCGUGUAGGCGGCUUGGCAAGUCAGAUGUGAAAGCCCAUGGCUUAACCAUGGAAGUGCGUCUGAAACUGCUGAGCUUGAGUGCCGGAGAGGAUGGCGGAAUUCCGCAAGUAGAGGUGAAAUUCGUAGAUAUGCGGAGGAACACCGGUGGCGAAGGCGGCCAUCUGGACGGCAACUGACGCUGAGACGCGAAAGCGUGGGGAGCAAACAGGAUUAGAUACCCUGGUAGUCCACGCUGUAAACGAUGAGAACUAGGUGUCGUGGGUGUUGACCCCCGCGGUGCCGUAGCUAACGCAUUAAGUUCU
Molecule: ribosomal RNA, 804 nt
Filed under: uncultured bacterium
Lineage: Bacteria
Description: bacterial SSU rRNA
Rfam family: Bacterial small subunit ribosomal RNA
Source: RNAcentral